AACGAACGCUGGCGGCGUGCUUAACACAUGCAAGUCGAGCGCGAAAGUUUCUCUUCGGAGAAGCGAGUAGAGCGGCAGACGGGUGAGUAACACGUGGAUAACCUACCCCAGAGCGGGGGAUAACCACCCGAAAGGGUGGCUAAUACCGCAUAAGACCACGGUUUUGCGAAACAGUGGUAAAAGGCUUCGGCCACUUUGGGAGGGGUCCGCGGUCGAUUAGCUAGUUGGUGAGGUAACGGCUCACCAAGGCGACGAUCGAUAGCUGGUCUGAGAGGAUGAUCAGCCACACUGGUACUGAGACACGGACCAGACUCCUACGGGAGGCAGCAGUGGGGAAUAUUGCGCAAUGGACGAAAGUCUGACGCAGCAACGCCGCGUGGGUGAAGAAGGUUUUCGGAUCGUAAAGCCCUGUCAGAUGGGAAGAAACCUGCUAGUCAGCUGACGGUACCAUCAAAGGAAGCACCGGCUAACUCCGUG
This 477-nucleotide ribosomal RNA is filed under the name uncultured bacterium. Its description in RNAcentral is "bacterial SSU rRNA". It matches the Rfam family "Bacterial small subunit ribosomal RNA", at positions 29 to 507 of the family's 1533-position model. The record is from RNAcentral.